This 65-nucleotide transfer RNA is filed under the name Chrysomeloidea sp. 6 KM-2017. RNAcentral describes it as "tRNA-His". The record is from RNAcentral. Lineage: Eukaryota; Metazoa; Arthropoda; Insecta; Coleoptera.
AUUUAAAUAGUUUAAUAAAAAUAUUGAUUUGUGGAAUCAAAGAUAUAAAAAGUUUAUUUUAAAUA